GACGAACGCUGGCGGCGUGCCUAAUACAUGCAAGUAGAACGCUGAAGGAGGAGCUUGCUCUUCUGGAUGAGUUGCGAACGGGUGAGUAACGCGUAGGUAACCUGCCUGGUAGCGGGGGAUAACUAUUGGAAACGAUAGCUAAUACCGCAUAACAGUAGAUGUUGCAUGACAUUUGCUUAAAAGGUGCAAUUGCACCACUACCAGAUGGACCUGCGUUGUAUUAGCUAGUUGGUGGGGUAACGGCUCACCAAGGCGACGAUACAUAGCCGACCUGAGAGGGUGAUCGGCCACACUGGGACUGAGACACGGCCCAGACUCCUACGGGAGGCAGCAGUAGGGAAUCUUCGGCAAUGGACGGAAGUCUGACCGAGCAACGCCGCGUGAGUGAAGAAGGUUUUCGGAUCGUAAAGCUCUGUUGUAAGAGAAGAACGAGUGUGAGAGUGGAAAGUUCACACUGUGACGGUAUCUUACCAGAAAGAGAUGGCUAACUACGUG
Molecule: ribosomal RNA, 495 nt
Filed under: uncultured bacterium
Lineage: Bacteria
Description: partial 16S ribosomal RNA
Rfam family: Bacterial small subunit ribosomal RNA
Source: RNAcentral